GACGAACGCUGGCGGCGUGCUUAACACAUGCCAGUCGAACGGACAGGCCCUUCGGGGUACUCGCGUGGCGAACGGGCGGGUAACUCGUGGAUGAUCUGCUCUGCUCUCUGGGAUACUCGUGGGACACUGGGUCUACUACCCUAUAGGACCACGCGCUUCUGAGUGUGAGGGUUCAAGCUUUUGCGGUGUUCGUUGGGCCGGCGCCGCAUUAGCUAGUUGGUGAGGUACUGGCUUACCAAGGCGACGACGCGUAGCCGACCUGUGAGGGUGAUCGGCCACACUGGAACUGAGACACGGUCCAGACUCCUACGGGAGGCAGCAGUAGGGAAGCUUCCGCAAUGGGCGAAAUGCUGACGGAGCAACGCCGCGUGAGUGAAGAAGGUCUUCGGAUCGUAAAACUCUGUUAUUAGGGAAGAACAAAUGUGUAAGUAACUAUGCACGUCUUGACGGUACCUAAUCAGAAAGCCACGGCUAACUACGUG
Molecule: ribosomal RNA, 482 nt
Filed under: uncultured bacterium
Lineage: Bacteria
Description: partial 16S ribosomal RNA
Rfam family: Bacterial small subunit ribosomal RNA
Source: RNAcentral